This is a long non-coding RNA of Solanum pennellii, 1691 nucleotides long. RefSeq lists it as uncharacterized. The transcript is spliced from 2 exons. Lineage: Eukaryota; Viridiplantae; Streptophyta; Magnoliopsida; Solanales; Solanaceae. The record is from RefSeq and is a predicted model, not a curated record.
GGGGGGGGGUUAAGGAUUGUGGUCUUGUUUCUUAGCAAAGGGGAUGAAUUUUUUUUACUGAUAAAAGAGAAAAUAAUUUAUUUCGAGCUUUAAUUUCACCCUAUCCGCCCAUUACUCGCCCAAGUUCAUUUGAGUUUGAGGGCACUCAUGAAGGAGUUAUAGUGGAAUAGAUAGUUUCAGUUUGUUUGUCCCAAUCGCUGCUCUCGAAAAGGUCGAAAACAGCAAAAUACAUUGCAGAAAAUUUGACAGCAGGUCUAGAAACACGCUGUUAUACUCGUCUUAUACACCGAUAUACAGGUCAAAACAUGCGUAGGGGGGCAAAUUCGAAAUGCAGGUUGAGAGCACUGAAGGUAUGAUGCUGGAAAAUAUUUUUCAACCCCCGAAAUUCGAUAUACAGGUUGAUACACCAGCUGUAUACAUCGAUAUACUCGCUUUAUACAGCGAUAUAUAGUAGUAAAUACAGUAUACAGGUACAAAUAUUUGGAAGCACAGAUAGGGAAAUACAGCACAUAAAAUUAGAUACGGUACAAAACAUGCUGGAUACGCUUCUUGUGCAGCAGUAUACAUUAAGUGUAUACCAAAUUGUAAAGAGAAAUGGGGCCAAAGCCCAUCUGGGUCCCUUGCAGAAUUUUGUGGAAAAAGGGUCAGGGCCAAAAAGUGAAAAAAAAAGAGGGAAAAUUAUAUUGAAUGGGAAACAUUUCUAAGUAAUUAUAUAAUAGGGGUAUAGUUUAAUUUAUUUACUUUCUAUAAUUAUAGUUUAUUUUUUUUGCUAUAAUUAAUGGGGUCCACCACCUAUUAUAUAACCAAUAGUAUAAAAACCUUUUUUUUUAAUUGAUAUAUAAUUUUACACAAAACAAUAUUAUCUCUCUUAUUCAUAUUCCACCUUUUUUUCCUACAAUUAAUACUUCUAUCCAAUUUGAAUUUCAAAUUGUCCAAAAUUCAAUUACUCCCUCCCGAAGAUGAAUUCAAUUUUCGUAGGUACUCCUAAAUUUUAGUCGUUUUCCUUUUUUUCUUUUCUUAUUCAACAAUUGUAUAUGUUUGUGUUUCUUAUGUUUUUUCAUAUUCUUUUUAUGAAAUAAUCGAUUGUUUGUUGUUAUUAGAUCUCAAAUUAGUCACAGAAUGAAUGAAUCAUCUUCAUCUAUGAGGAUUACCAUGGGUAUUCCAUUGAAGGUCAAUUUUGUUGACAAUUUACCAUCGUUUUCAAUGGGUUUAACUCAAGAUUUUGGGGUUGAUGUAGGGUCUAUGGUAAAAUCAAAGCAAGUUCAACAUGAACAAACAAUGGAAGAUUGAGAUCAAAGAAAAAAUAUGACCCUACGGCAGUUCAAGAAGUUAUUAACAAUGCUAAAGCUAGAGGUAUUAAAAUUGUACAAGGAGGAAGAAAGAAGAAAGCAGUAAACAUUGAUUCAGAGGAAAAUGCAUGUGAAGUUGACGGAUCUGAAGAACAUCAUAAUCAUGAGGUAGUGGCUUAAAACACAAAUUUAGAUACAAUGUCAAUAUACAAAAAAUUAUUGUUCAAGUAAAUUUUGUAUUCACAUAAUUGUAUAUAGUAUAUUGCAUGUUUAGUACACACAUGUUUUAGUUAUAUACUUGUAUAUGUGUCUGUAGAUUUGAUUACUUUAUACAUACUUUAAGUUAUGUAUAAUGAAUAUAUACUAAGUCUUAAUAGUGGUAGUAGCAGAUUGUAUAUUAAA